RNAcentral lists this long non-coding RNA (398 nucleotides) under Homo sapiens (human). Its description in RNAcentral is "HSALNT0239369". The record is from RNAcentral. Lineage: Eukaryota; Metazoa; Chordata; Mammalia; Primates; Hominidae.
CCAGGUCUUACCUUGGCCUUUCCUUCCUGGCUCAAAACCUGUGGGUUCACCUCACAGGUGAGCAACCUCCAGCUUGACCUCAAGUCCUUCUUUUACAAUACGUUCUCAAGGAGACAGAAGCCAAGAGUCUGGGCCCUGCCUCUUCCUUAGCUCCGACCCCAGGCUCACAAAGGAAUUGGAGGGGCUUCAAGCAACAGUGCUCAUGUCUCACUCCUGCUGUCUGCACACGGCACAGCAGCUGGAGGCUCUGCUCACAUCUUCCUCGUUCUGGGACCUAGGCUGAGGAAACAGCCCUCACCUGGAGCAUGGCUGGUCCCUCUGGCAGAAGGAAAGAGAGUACGGUGAGCCACAUGUUGGCUCAGAAAACAUCACCCAGGAGUAACAAGGCAAGUCUCAUG